UUUCUAGACUCCUACGGGAGGCAGCAGUGGGGAAUAUUGCACAAUGGGGGGAACCCUGAUGCAGCGACGCCGCGUGGGUGAAGGAGUACUUCGGUACGUAAAGCCCUAUCAGCAGGAAAGAAAAUGACGGCACCUGACUAAGAAGCCCCGGCUAACUACGUGCCAGCAGCCGCGGUAAUACGUAGGGGGCAAGCGUUAUCCGGAUUCACUGGGUGUAAGGGGAGCGUAGACGGCGACGCAAGUCUGGAGUGAAAGCCCGGGGCCCAACCCCGGGACUGCUCUGGAAACUGCGUCGCUGGAGUACGGGAGGGGCAGGCGGAAUUCCUGGUGUAGCGGUGAAAUGCGUAGAUAUCAGGAGGAACACCGGCGGCGAAGGCGGCCUGCUGGACCGUGACUGACGUUGAGGCUCGAGAGCGUGGGGAGCAAACAGGAUUAGAUACCCGUGUAAA
Molecule: ribosomal RNA, 449 nt
Filed under: uncultured bacterium
Lineage: Bacteria
Description: bacterial SSU rRNA
Rfam family: Bacterial small subunit ribosomal RNA
Source: RNAcentral